GAAAUAAGCAGGCCGAAGCUUCUCGUGAGAAGCGCGGGGGAUCCCAGUUCUUGGGGUGAAGCCAUUGUCAUAUGGCCGGGCGAUUGCUCUUUGACCCGAACCCGUCAGCUAACCUCGUAGGCCGUAAUAAAGAGAGGAUGU
This 141-nucleotide small RNA is filed under the name Paenibacillus xerothermodurans. RNAcentral describes it as "Bacillus xerothermodurans c-di-AMP sequence". It matches the Rfam family "c-di-AMP riboswitch aptamer (ydaO/yuaA leader)". From Rfam's summary of the family: This family represents a conserved RNA structure found upstream of the ydaO and yuaA genes in Bacillus subtilis and related genes in other bacteria. The ydaO/yuaA element is thought to act as a genetic "off" switch for the ydaO and yuaA genes in its native state. Lineage: Bacteria; Bacillati; Bacillota; Bacilli; Caryophanales; Paenibacillaceae. The record is from RNAcentral.